CCCUUAGAUGUCCUGGGCCGCACGCGCGCUACACUGACAUGUUCAACAAGCCUCCUAGUUCGACAGGAUUUGGGAAAUCUUUGAACGCAUGUCGUGAUAGGGAUAGAUCAUUGCAAUUAUUGAUCUUGAACGAGGAAUUCCUAGUAAACGCGAGUCAUCAGCUCGCAUUGAUUACGUCCCUGCCCUUUGUACACACCGCCCGUCGCUCCUACCGAUUGGGUGAUCCGGUGAAUAACUCGGACUGCAGCUAUUCGGGAGACCGUUAGCUUGUGGAAAGUUUAGUAAAUCUUAUCACUUAGAGGAAGGAGAAGUCGUAACA
Molecule: ribosomal RNA, 319 nt
Filed under: uncultured eukaryote
Lineage: Eukaryota
Description: partial 18S ribosomal RNA
Rfam family: Eukaryotic small subunit ribosomal RNA
Source: RNAcentral